RNAcentral lists this small nuclear RNA (148 nucleotides) under Mus pahari (shrew mouse). RNAcentral's name for it is "predicted gene, 23464 (MGP_PahariEiJ_G0033621.1)". It matches the Rfam family "U1 spliceosomal RNA". From Rfam's summary of the family: U1 is a small nuclear RNA (snRNA) component of the spliceosome (involved in pre-mRNA splicing). Its 5' end forms complementary base pairs with the 5' splice junction, thus defining the 5' donor site of an intron. The record is from RNAcentral. Lineage: Eukaryota; Metazoa; Chordata; Mammalia; Rodentia; Muridae.
AAACUUAGCUGGCAGGGAGAAAUCAUUAUCAGGAAGGUGGUUUUCCAGGAUGAGGCUCCUCCUGUGCUGACCCCUGCAACUUCCCCGAAGGUAAGGAAAUUCAGCUGCAUAAUUGUGUUGUGGGGGACAGCAUAAGCACUCUCCCCUG